GCAAUCUCCACGGUAGGUAAAGGGUUCUCACUGAAGGAAAUAAGAUCAGGACCAAAUUGUCAGAAACGGACAGCAAAAUCACUUCAAAAUCAUGGAUGACCAAUGAUGCUUCACUGGUGACUCUUCUUAAGGCACAAAGGCGUACGUCCUCUGGUGCCAGCUGAGCUGUCCUCGGAUGCUGUAGGCGAUGGUAGUGACAAACUCUCCUCCGAGGCCCAGCUCAGAGCAGAGCUUCAAAGCAAACGUUUCUGAAUACUGUCGGUGGGGUAGGACUCUAUCUGCUGUCUAAUUGCAGAGGCGAUGGCAGGGACGAAGGUGAAGGCGUCUCUGAGUUUCUGCCCAUCAAUCUCCAUAUCUAGGCGGAUGGGCACCAGGACCUCCGCUUGGGAAGCAUUUUCAUGGAUGACUGCAGGGUCGUGGUCAUCAAAACUAUGCAUUGAAGAAAAGCAGAAU
Molecule: long non-coding RNA, 453 nt
Organism: Myxocyprinus asiaticus (Chinese sucker)
Lineage: Eukaryota; Metazoa; Chordata; Actinopteri; Cypriniformes; Catostomidae
Exons: 4
Source: RefSeq, a predicted model, not a curated record